CCUACGGGAGGCAGCAGUGGGGAAUAUUGGGCAAUGGGCGCAAGCCUGACCCAGCAACGCCGCGUGAAGGAAGAAGGCCCUCGGGUUGUAAACUUCUUUUGUCAGGGACGAAGAAAGUGACGGUACCUGACGAAUAAGCCACGGCUAACUCCGUGCGAGCCGCCGCGUAAAUCCGUAGGUGGCAAGCGUUAUCCGGAUUUAUUGGGUUUAAAGGGUGCGCAGGGGGUCUGUUAAGGCAGCGUUCAAGGCCCGGGGUCCAAGUCAGGACCGCCGUUGAAACUGGCAGUCUCGAGUGGGAGAGAGGUAUGCGGAAUGCGCGGUGUAGCGGUGAAAUGCAUAGAUAUCGCGCAGAACUCCGAUUGCGAAGGCAGCAUGCCGGCUCCACACUGACGCUGAGGCACGAAAGCGUGGGUAUCGAACAGGAUUAGAUACCCGAGUAGUC
Molecule: ribosomal RNA, 442 nt
Filed under: uncultured bacterium
Lineage: Bacteria
Description: partial 16S ribosomal RNA
Rfam family: Bacterial small subunit ribosomal RNA
Source: RNAcentral